RNAcentral lists this non-coding RNA (30 nucleotides) under Mus musculus (house mouse). Lineage: Eukaryota; Metazoa; Chordata; Mammalia; Rodentia; Muridae. The record is from RNAcentral.
UCCCACAGCUUUCUAGUCUCCCUACUUCCC